UCGGGAUAACACCUGGAAACAGAUGCUAAUACCGGAUAACAACAGAUGAUGCCUAUCAACUGUUUAAAAGAUGGUUCUGCUAUCACUCUUGGAUGGACCUGCGGUGCAUUAGCUAGUUGGUAGGGUAACGGCCUACCAAGGCGAUGAUGCAUAGCCGAGUUGAGAGACUGAUCGGCCACAUUGGGACUGAGACACGGCCCAAACUCCUACGGGAGGCAGCAGNG
RNAcentral lists this ribosomal RNA (224 nucleotides) under uncultured Lactobacillus sp. RNAcentral's name for it is "partial 16S ribosomal RNA". It matches the Rfam family "Bacterial small subunit ribosomal RNA", at positions 138 to 356 of the family's 1533-position model. Lineage: Bacteria; Bacillati; Bacillota; Bacilli; Lactobacillales; Lactobacillaceae. The record is from RNAcentral.